UACGGAGGGGGCUAGCGUUGUUCGGAAUUACUGGGCGUAAAGCGUACGUAGGCGGCUUUGUAAGUUAGAGGUGAAAGCCCGGGGCUCAACUCCGGAAUUGCCUUUAAGACUGCAUCGCUUGAAUCAUGGAGAGGUGAGUGGAAUUCCGAGUGUAGAGGUGAAAUUCGUAGAUAUUCGGAAGAACACCAGUGGCGAAGGCGGCUAUCUGGACCGACAUUGACGCUGAGGCGCGAAAGCGUGGGGAGCAAACAGG
RNAcentral lists this ribosomal RNA (253 nucleotides) under uncultured bacterium. Its description in RNAcentral is "partial 16S ribosomal RNA". It matches the Rfam family "Bacterial small subunit ribosomal RNA", at positions 524 to 776 of the family's 1533-position model. The record is from RNAcentral.